Molecule: ribosomal RNA, 1440 nt
Filed under: metagenome
Description: SSU rRNA
Rfam family: Eukaryotic small subunit ribosomal RNA
Source: RNAcentral
AGUAUUGGCCAAACAUGGUUGCAACGGGUAACGGAGGGUUAGGGCUCGACCCCGGAGAAGGAGCCUGAGAAACGGCUACUACAUCCAAGGAAGGCAGCAGGCGCGCUAAUUACCCAAUCCCGACACGGGGAGGUAGUGACAAUAAAUACUGAUACAGGGCUCUUUUGGGUCUUGUAAUUGGAAUGAGUACAAUUUAAAUCCCUUAACGAGGAACAAUUGGAGGGCAAGUCUGGUGCCAGCAGCCGCGGUAAUUCCAGCUCCAAUAGCGUAUAUUAAAGUUGUUGUGGUUAAAAAGCUCGUAGUUGAACCUUGGGCCUGGCUGGCCGGUCCGCCUCACCGCGUGUACUGGUCCGGCCGGGCCUUUCCCUCUGUGGAACCCCAUGCCCUUCACUGGGUGUGGCGGGGAAACAGGACUUUUACUUUGAAAAAAUUAGAGUGCUCCAGGCAGGCCUAUGCUCGAAUACAUUAGCAUGGAAUAAUAGAAUAGGACGUGUGGUUCUAUUUUGUUGGUUUCUAGGACCGCCGUAAUGAUUAAUAGGGACAGUCGGGGGCAUCAGUAUUCAAUUGUCAGAGGUGAAAUUCUUGGAUUUAUUGAAGACUAACUACUGCGAAAGCAUUUGCCAAGGAUGUUUUCAUUAAUCAGGAACGAAAGUUAGGGGAUCGAAGACGAUCAGAUACCGUCGUAGUCUUAACCAUAAACUAUGCCGACUAGGGAUCGGACGAUGUUAUUUUUUGACUCGUUCGGCACCUUACGAGAAAUCAAAGUGCUUGGGCUCCAGGGGGAGUAUGGUCGCAAGGCUAAAACUUAAAGAAAUUGACGGAAGGGCACCACCGGGGGUGGAGCCUGCGGCUUAAUUUGACACAACACGGGGAAACUCACCAGGUCCAGACACAAUGAGGAUUGACAGAUUGAGAGCUCUUUCUUGAUUUUGUGGGUGGUGGUGCAUGGCCGUUCUUAGUUGGUGGAGUGAUUUGUCUGCUUAAUUGCGAUAACGAACGAGACCUUAACCUGCUAAAUAGCCCGUAUUGCUUUGGCAGUACGCUGGCUUCUUAGAGGGACUAUCGGCUCAAGCCGAUGGAAGUUUGAGGCAAUAACAGGUCUGUGAUGCCCUUAGAUGUUCUGGGCCGCACGCGCGCUACACUGACGGAGCCAGCGAGUUCUCCCUUGGCCGGAAGGUCCGGGUAAUCUUGUUAAACUCCGUCGUGCUGGGGAUAGAGCAUUGCAAUUAUUGCUCUUCAACGAGGAAUCCCUAGUAAGCGCAAGUCAUCAGCUUGCGUUGAUUACGUCCCUGCCCUUUGUACACACCGCCCGUCGCUACUACCGAUUGAAUGGCUCAGUGAGGCGUCCGGACUGGCCCAGAGAGGUGGGCAACUACCCCUCAGGGCCGGAAAGCUCUCCAAACUCGGUCAUUUAGAGGAAGUAAAAGUCGUAACAAGGUC